GCUGUAAAGCACUGAAUGCUGCUGUGCAAAGGGAGCGCUAUUGCUGGUCUUCUUUUUGGAACAGAUUUUCAUUGCUGAUCUCUCAAGUGUGGUGUUAUGCCACAUUGUUGAGUAUUUGAUGGACUAGUCAAGGUUCGUCUAACAAGAGAGAAAGUAGCCUGGUGUUUCGACCUUUGAUUUUCCACAAUGUCUUAUAGAGAGAAAACAAAAAAAAGUCUUGUGGUUCCCUAUAUUACCUCAAUAUUACUUGUAAUGUUUCUUUUUCGUGUAACUUUAUGAUGAACGAAUGUGUGUUCGGUGCUAAUUGCAAGGAAUAAUAUGUCUCGAAUUAUUUUGUUUUUUUCCCUAA
Long non-coding RNA from Nicotiana attenuata, 349 nucleotides. RefSeq lists it as uncharacterized. The transcript has 2 exons. NCBI's taxonomy places the organism in Eukaryota, Viridiplantae, Streptophyta, Magnoliopsida, Solanales, Solanaceae. The record is from RefSeq and is a predicted model, not a curated record.